GUAGUCUCGCACAGAUGCAUAUCAAUAAGCGGAGGAAAAGAAACUAACAAGGAUUCCCCUAGUAACGGCGAGUGAAGCGGGAAGAGCUCAAAUUUGAAAUCUUAAAGGGUUUCCCUUUACGAAUUGUAGUUUAAAGAAGUGUUUUCUGUUGAGGUUUUGGUAAAAGUUCUUUGGAAUAGGACAUCAUAGAGGGUGAGAAUCCCGUAUUUGACCUUUACUUUCAACUUUGUGAUACACUUUCAAAGAGUCGGAUUGUUUGGGAAUGCAGUCCAAAAUGGGUGGUAAAUUUCAUCUAAAGCUAAAUAUUGGCGAGAGACCGAUAGCGAACAAGUAUCGUGAGGGAAAGAUGAAAAGAACUUUGAAAAGAGAGUUAAACAGUACGUGAAAUUGUCAAAAGGGAAGCGUUUGACACCAGUGUUGUUUUUCUGAAAAUCAAUUAAAGAACUGUUUAUGCUAAGCUGUUUAGACUCUAUCAGCUAUCUGCUUAGUUUUGAGCUUUUCUUUAAUGCACUUUUCAGUUAACAAGUCAACAUCAAUUUCUUUUGCUGUAAAAGAGCUUGAGGAAGGUGGCUUGAGAUUCGUCUUAAGUGUUUAUAGCCUCUUGCCUAUGCAGUCGGAGAGAUUGAGGUCUGCAGCGUAGAUCCUUCGGGGCUAAAUGCAUUUGUGCUAAGUUAUAACAUUUUAUAGACAACUUGUUGACUAUGAUUUGUCUUGUAGCUUACUCGCUUAUGUUAUUUUACCUACGCUUAGGAUGUUGAUCUGUAGUGCGUGCGC
This 774-nucleotide ribosomal RNA is filed under the name uncultured Neocallimastigales. RNAcentral describes it as "partial large subunit ribosomal RNA". It matches the Rfam family "Eukaryotic large subunit ribosomal RNA", at positions 24 to 647 of the family's 3401-position model. Lineage: Eukaryota; Fungi; Neocallimastigomycota; Neocallimastigomycetes; Neocallimastigales. The record is from RNAcentral.